CCAAUAGCGUAUAUUAAAGUUGUUGCAGUUAAAAAGCUCGUAGUUGAAUUUCGGGAUCGACGGGUCGGUCGCGCCUCUGGUGUGUACUGGCCCUGUCGGUUUCUCCCUUCUGACGAACCACGAUGUCAUUAAUUUGGUAUCGUGGGAAAUCAGGACUGUUACUUUGAAAAAAUUAGAGUGUUUAAAGCAGGCAUUCGCUUGAAUACAUUAGCAUGGAAUAAUGAAAUAGUACGUUUGAUCUUAUUUUGUUGGUUUCUAAGAUCGACGUAAUGAUUAAUAGGUAUAGUUGGGGGCAUUAGUAUUCAAUUGUCAGAGGUGAAAUUCUUGGAUUUAUUGAAGACUAACUACUGCGAAAGCAUUUGCCAAGGAUGUUUUCAUUAAUCAAGAACGAAAGUUAGGGGAUCGAAGACGAUCAGAUACCGUCGUAGUCUUAACCAUAAACUAUGCCGACUAGGGAUCGGAUGAUGUUAAUUUUUUAAUGACUCAUUCGGCGCCUUACG
Molecule: ribosomal RNA, 500 nt
Filed under: uncultured Glomeromycotina
Lineage: Eukaryota; Fungi; Glomeromycota
Description: partial small subunit ribosomal RNA
Rfam family: Eukaryotic small subunit ribosomal RNA
Source: RNAcentral